GGGUUGUGAGGUUAAGCGACUAAGCGUACACGGUGGAUGCCCUGGCAGUCAGAGGCGAUGAAGGACGUGCUAAUCUGCGAAAAGCGCCGGCGAGGUGAUAUGAACCUUUGACCCGGCGAUGUCCGAAUGGGGAAACCCAGUGUGAUUCGUCACACUAUCGUUAACUGAAUACAUAGGUUAACGAGGCGAACCGGGGGAACUGAAACAUCUAAGUACCCCGAGGAAAAGAAAUCAACCGAGAUUCCCCCAGUAGCGGCGAGCGAACGGGGAGCAGCCCAGAGUCUGAAUCAGCUUGUGUGUUAGUGGAAGCGUCUGGAAAGUCGCACGGUACAGGGUGACAGUCCCGUACACGAAAGCACACAGGCUGUGAACUCGAAGAGUAGGGCGGGACACGUGGUAUCCUGUCUGAAUAUGGGGGGACCAUCCUCCAAGGCUAAAUACUCCUGACUGACCGAUAGUGAACCAGUACCGUGAGGGAAAGGCGAAAAGAACCCCGGCGAGGGGAGUGAAAAAGAACCUGAAACCGUGUACGUACAAGCAGUGGGAGCCUCUUUUAUGGGGUGACUGCGUACCUUUUGUAUAAUGGGUCAGCGACUUAUAUUCUGUAGCAAGGUUAACCGUAUAGGGGAGCCGAAGGGAAACCGAGUCUUAACUGGGCGUUAAGUUGCAGGGUAUAGACCCGAAACCCGGUGAUCUAGCCAUGGGCAGGUUGAAGGUUGGGUAACACUAACUGGAGGACCGAACCGACUAAUGUUGAAAAAUUAGCGGAUGACUUGUGGCUGGGGGUGAAAGGCCAAUCAAACCGGGAGAUAGCUGGUUCUCCCCGAAAGCUAUUUAGGUAGCGCCUCGUGAACUCAUCUUCGGGGGUAGAGCACUGUUUCGGCUAGGGGGCCAUCCCGGCUUACCAACCCGAUGCAAACUACGAAUACCGAAGAAUGUUAUCACGGGAGACACACGGCGGGUGCUAACGUCCGUCGUGAAGAGGGAAACAACCCAGACCGCCAGCUAAGGUCCCAAAGUCAUGGUUAAGUGGGAAACGAUGUGGGAAGGCACAGACAGCCAGGAUGUUGGCUUAGAAGCAGCCAUCAUUUAAAGAAAGCGUAAUAGCUCACUGGUCGAGUCGGCCUGCGCGGAAGAUGUAACGGGGCUAAACCAUGCACCGAAGCUGCGGCAGCGACACUAUGUGUUGUUGGGUAGGGGAGCGUUCUGUAAGCCGUUGAAGGUGUCCUGUGAGGGGUGCUGGAGGUAUCAGAAGUGCGAAUGCUGACAUAAGUAACGAUAAAGCGGGUGAAAAGCCCGCUCGCCGGAAGACCAAGGGUUCCUGUCCAACGUUAAUCGGGGCAGGGUGAGUCGACCCCUAAGGCGAGGCCGAAAGGCGUAGUCGAUGGGAAACAGGUUAAUAUUCCUGUACUUGGUGUUACUGCGAAGGGGGGACGGAGAAGGCUAUGUUAGCCGGGCGACGGUUGUCCCGGUUUAAGCAUGUAGGCGGAGGUUCCAGGUAAAUCCGGUUCCUUAUUAACGCUGAGGUGUGAUGACGAGGCACUACGGUGCUGAAGUAACAAAUGCCCUGCUUCCAGGAAAAGCCUCUAAGCAUCAGGUAACAUCAAAUCGUACCCCAAACCGACACAGGUGGUCAGGUAGAGAAUACCAAGGCGCUUGAGAGAACUCGGGUGAAGGAACUAGGCAAAAUGGUGCCGUAACUUCGGGAGAAGGCACGCUGAUAUGUAGGUGAAGCCCCUGCGGGUGGAGCUGAAAUCAGUCGAAGAUACCAGCUGGCUGCAACUGUUUAUUAAAAACACAGCACUGUGCAAACACGAAAGUGGACGUAUACGGUGUGACGCCUGCCCGGUGCCGGAAGGUUAAUUGAUGGGGUUAGCGGCAACGCGAAGCUCUUGAUCGAAGCCCCGGUAAACGGCGGCCGUAACUAUAACGGUCCUAAGGUAGCGAAAUUCCUUGUCGGGUAAGUUCCGACCUGCACGAAUGGCGUAAUGAUGGCCAGGCUGUCUCCACCCGAGACUCAGUGAAAUUGAACUCGCUGUGAAGAUGCAGUGUACCCGCGGCAAGACGGAAAGACCCCGUGAACCUUUACUAUAGCUUGACACUGAACACUGGUCCUUGAUGUGUAGGAUAGGUGGGAGGCUUUGAAGCGUGGACGCCAGUCUGCGUGGAGCCAACCUUGAAAUACCACCCUUUAAUGGCUGGUGUUCUAACGUAGACCCGUGAUCCGGGUUGCGGACAGUGUCUGGUGGGUAGUUUGACUGGGGCGGUCUCCUCCCAAAGAGUAACGGAGGAGCACGAAGGUUAGCUAAUCCUGGUCGGACAUCAGGAGGUUAGUGCAAUGGCAUAAGCUAGCUUGACUGCGAGAGUGACGGCUCGAGCAGGUGCGAAAGCAGGUCAUAGUGAUCCGGUGGUUCUGAAUGGAAGGGCCAUCGCUCAACGGAUAAAAGGUACUCCGGGGAUAACAGGCUGAUACCGCCCAAGAGUUCAUAUCGACGGCGGUGUUUGGCACCUCGAUGUCGGCUCAUCACAUCCUGGGGCUGAAGUAGGUCCCAAGGGUAUGGCUGUUCGCCAUUUAAAGUGGUACGCGAGCUGGGUUUAGAACGUCGUGAGACAGUUCGGUCCCUAUCUGCCGUGGGCGCUGGAGAAUUGAGGGGGGCUGCUCCUAGUACGAGAGGACCGGAGUGGACGCAUCACUGGUGUUCGGGUUGUCAUGCCAAUGGCACUGCCCGGUAGCUAAAUGCGGAAGAGAUAAGUGCUGAAAGCAUCUAAGCACGAAACUUGCCCCGAGAUGAGUUCUCCCUGAGACUUUAAGUCUCCUGAAGGAACGUUGAAGACUACGACGUUGAUAGGUCGGGUGUGUAAGCGCAGCGAUGCGUUGAGCUAACCGAUACUAAUGAACCGUGAGGCUUAACCUUACAACGCCGAAG
RNAcentral lists this ribosomal RNA (2927 nucleotides) under Enterobacter kobei. RNAcentral's name for it is "bacterial LSU rRNA". It matches the Rfam family "Bacterial large subunit ribosomal RNA". RNAcentral also lists the same sequence under 1 other name. Lineage: Bacteria; Pseudomonadati; Pseudomonadota; Gammaproteobacteria; Enterobacterales; Enterobacteriaceae. The record is from RNAcentral.